GAUGAACGCUGGCGGCGUGCCUAAUACAUGCAAGUCAAGCGAACGGAUAAGGAGCUUGCUCCUUUGAAGUUAGCGGCGGACGGGUGAGUAACACGUGGGUAACCUACCUAUAAGACUGGAAUAACUUCGGGAAACCGGAGCUAAUGCCGGAUAACAUUUGGAACUGCAUGGUUCUAAAGUAAAAGAUGGUUUUGCUAUCACUUAUAGAUGGACCCGCGCCGUAUUAGCUAGUUGGUAAGGUAACGGCUUACCAAGGCAACGAUACGUAGCCGACCUGAGAGGGUGAUCGGCCACACUGGAACUGAGACACGGUCCAGACUCCUACGGGAGGCAGCAGUAGGGAAUCUUCCGCAAUGGACGAAAGUCUGACGGAGCAACGCCGCGUGAGUGAUGAAGGUUUUCGGAUCGUAAAACUCUGUCAUUAGGGAAGAACAAAUGUGUAAGUAACUGUGCACAUCUUGACGGUACCUAAUCAGAAAGCCACGGCUAACUACGUGCCAGCAGCCGCCGUAA
RNAcentral lists this ribosomal RNA (513 nucleotides) under uncultured bacterium. RNAcentral describes it as "partial 16S ribosomal RNA". It matches the Rfam family "Bacterial small subunit ribosomal RNA", at positions 28 to 523 of the family's 1533-position model. The record is from RNAcentral.